AAACAUGUCUUUUUGAGUUAAAUUUAAAGUCUGACCUGCCCACUGAAUAAUUUUAAAUGGCCGCAGUAUUUUGACUGUGCAAAGGUAGCAUAAUCAUUAGUCUUUUAAUUGAAGGCUGGUAUGAAUGGUUGGACGAAGUAUAAUCUGUUUCAUAUGAAUUUAUAAUAGAAUUUAAUUUUUUAGUAAAAAAGCUAAAAUUUUAUUGAAAGACGAGAAGACCCUAUAAAUCUUUAUAUUUAAUUUUAUUUUAAUUUUUUGGAUUUAUUUUAUUUUUAUAAUAUUGAAUAUUUUGUUGGGGUGAUGUUAAAAUUUAAUGAACUUUUAAUUAUUUAAAAUCAUUAAUUUAUGAAUUGUUGAUCCAAUAUUUAUUGAUUAUAAGAUUAAGUUACUUUAGGGAUAACAGCGUAAUUUUUUUUGAGAGUUCAUAUCGACAGAAAAGUUUGCGACCUCGAUGUUGGAUUAAGGUAUAAUUUUGGGUGUAGCUGUUCAAAUAUUAAGUCUGUUCGACUUUUAAAUCCUUACAUGAUC
Molecule: ribosomal RNA, 528 nt
Filed under: Anastrepha paradentata
Lineage: Eukaryota; Metazoa; Arthropoda; Insecta; Diptera; Tephritidae
Description: partial small subunit ribosomal RNA
Rfam family: Bacterial large subunit ribosomal RNA (bases 396-528)
Source: RNAcentral